This 109-nucleotide small nucleolar RNA is filed under the name Lachancea fermentati. Its description in RNAcentral is "Small nucleolar RNA snR73". It matches the Rfam family "Small nucleolar RNA snR73". The record is from Rfam by way of RNAcentral. Lineage: Eukaryota; Fungi; Ascomycota; Saccharomycetes; Saccharomycetales; Saccharomycetaceae.
GUUUAUGAUGACUUUCCACAUUUUCACGACGGUCAACUGUUUGUCUUCUUACAUGUUUAGUUCGAAGAUGCUGAUGAUAUUUAGCCUGUGACAGGGCGUGGUUCUGAAC